Molecule: long non-coding RNA, 1815 nt
Organism: Xenopus tropicalis (tropical clawed frog)
Lineage: Eukaryota; Metazoa; Chordata; Amphibia; Anura; Pipidae
Exons: 2
Source: RefSeq, a predicted model, not a curated record
GUCCCUGAGCACGGGACCAGACUAUGGGCACAUAAGCAGCACAGGGGCAGGUAACGGUACAACACAGCUUUAUUAACAAGCAAUCCCUUAGGCACAAACAAGGUGUAACUGCCCAACAAAGGCACAACUGUAGGGGGUAUUUGUGGCCCAGUCCCUUAUAUUAGUCACUUGCAGCUCCCAGGCAGCCCAGUAACAGCUCCCCUCACAGUGAGGCUCCCAGUUGCACUUCUGUAGGUGGGGGGGAUAACUGGCAGAUUAACUUAACUGCUGGAGUGUAACUCAGGUGCUGGAGUGUAACUCAGGGGUCAGUGCUGGGGAAAUCCAAUCCAAAAUGAGGGGACGCCGCAGCUUAUCCCACUCUGCUUUGCAGUCACCAGUUCCCACUGCAGCCUUUCCAGCAGCUUCUUUCUCAACAGCCACUUCCUCUUCCCUCUGACCUCUCUGAGCCAACUGCUUCCUGUCCCUGGGACCUCCCGGCCCCUCCCUCCUGAGCCAGCAGCUUCCACAGCUAUUAGGAGUCUUUUCACAUCUCUCCCCCCCCAGAGGGCGGCCGUCCGGUCUCCCCCCAGACGGGGGGAAGACCGUAGGACGCCCUUGUCCUGUACAGUCUUCACCGUCCCUUCUUGAGAGUCCAUCCGCAUUCCCAUGGUGGCUCCCCUUGCGGUGCUGUAUAGUAAAGUUGAACUGCUGCAAAGCUAGGCUCCACCUCAGCAAUUUCCCAUUGUCUCCAGAAACGCGUUGCAACCAGCUCAGAGGGUUAUGGUCAGUUACCACAGUGAAUGCACUUCCAAACAGAUAGGGCUGCAGUUUCUUUAAGGCCCACACAAUGGCCAGACACUCUUUUUCAAUUGUAGCAUAUGCAACUUCCCGGGGAAGCAGCUUCCGGCUCAGGUAUAUAAUGGGGUGCUCCCCUCCCUUCUCAUCCACUUGGGACAACACAGCACCAAUCCCAUAGGUGGAGGCGUCAGUGUGGACAAUGAAUCCCCGGCUAAAGUCAGGUGCAGACAUAACAGGGGCAUUCACUAAGGCAGAUUUGAGUGCAGACAUGGCGGUAGCACACUCGGGUGUCCAGGUUACCACUCGUGGGCGUCUUUUACUCGUCAGAUCUGUCAGGGGUUUAGCAAUAGCACUGUAGUUAGGGAUAAAGCGUCGGUAAUACCCUGCUGUCCCCAAAAAGGCUAACACCUGUUUCUGUGUUGUGGGAGUAGGCCAGUUUACUAUGACUUCAACCUUGGCCGGUUCUGGCAUCACUCGCCCGCUUCCCACCCGAUGACCCAAAUAUUGGACCUCAGCCAUCCCAAAGUGGCAUUUCCCUGGUUUAAGGGUAAGCCCAGCCUGCCUAAUCCUUUCCAGCACCCUCUGCAGGUGCUGCACAUGUUCCUCCCAGGUGUUGCUAAAUAUGGCUAUAUCAUCCAGAUAUGCCUGAGCAAACUCUUGGCACCCCUCCAACAGCUGAUUUACUACCCUCUGGAAUGUCGCUGGUGCGUUUUUCAUUCCAAAUGGCAUGACUGUAAAUUGAAACAAGCCAUAGGGAGUGAUAAAAGCCGACUUCUCUUGGUCCCCUGGUGCCAAGGGAAUCUGCCAGUAUCCUCGGCUUAGGUCUAGGGUGGUGAGGUAUUUGGCAUUCCCCAGGUGGUCAAGGAGUUCAUCCACCCGGGGCAUUGGGUAGGCGUCUGUAACUGUCACUUGGUUCAGUUUCCUAUAGUCUACACAAAACCUAGUGCUGCCAUCCUUCUUGGGAACUAAUACUACUGGUGAUGCCCAAGGGCUCUGAGAGGGAACAAUCACCCCUAAUGCCAACAUUUCCUCUACUUC